This is a long non-coding RNA of Dicentrarchus labrax (European seabass), 482 nucleotides long. RefSeq lists it as uncharacterized. The record is from RefSeq and is a predicted model, not a curated record. The transcript is spliced from 3 exons. Lineage: Eukaryota; Metazoa; Chordata; Actinopteri; Moronidae.
GUCAUGUGACACUAGGUCACAUUUCAAAGAACUUGUCCCUAUAUGGCAACAUUUCCAGUGCCCCAAAAGAGUUUUCAGUCUAUGGAAUGGAAACUUUAGAUGGCGAAGAAAUCAAUCUUGGAACUUUUCUUUAUGAUCAGGAUGGGAACUCAGUCCAGACUUUCAAACUGCCUGGUCAUGAAAAAGACGUCUUCAGCUACGUGAAGCUGCAAGUUGAAAACAACUGGGGCCAUGAUGAGUUCACUUGUUUGUACAGCUUCAGGGUCCACGGGAAGCUGGCAGACUGAGGACGGGGGGUGGGGGCGGCGUCAUCUGGGUGCAGCUCAGAGGCGGGUAUGUAUAAAGAGGUAAGUAUCUGUGAAGGUGAAUCAGACUCCAAACAUGUGUAAAUUAAAAGGAUUUGUUUAACCUUGUGUUGUAGAAUUUGCAGUCGUGAAAAUAUUAGCAAAUGUUGCAAACUGUUUACGUUUUAUUUAUUGUUA